GCUCCCUCCCCUCUCCCCUCUCUCCUGUCUCGCGCUCACCCUCACGAGCAUCUUUCCUUCGUCGCCUUCGGUUGCUUCGGUUUUCUCCUUUGAAGAGAAAAUACUUAAGCACGUUAAUUAGCCGAAAGGGAAUAGGUACAGUCUAAUUAGCAGACAACAACAACGAAUCAGCAGUGCUUAGCAAAAAUAAUUAAUAAUAAUUCAAAAUAAUAUCAACCGUCGUGUUCACUCGGGUCGCCAUGGAUACGUCCGAACUAAACCCACAUACCUCUGUAUUAAUCAGUAUGAAAGAAACAAACCGAAUACGCCUAGUGACAUGAUGCUAAGCUACACAAUAGUAUUUAUUGCGGGAGUAUGCGGGAUUUAGAUGUAGCCUCUCUGAGGACUCAGCUAACUUCUUCUUUCCUCUCGACUUGAGGUCACGUUUUGUUACCAAGUCAAGAAGAUCAUUCAUCAGCUACUUGACUAUGCUCAACAUUACAUAAAAGAGACGAUGAGAAGAAGAAAAAAAAGAGAGAGUGGGAGGCAGAGAUGAAGUCCAACACCGCCAUCGGCUCUCUUCCUCCUCUGCAAGUCCGUCUCUCCAUCGCAGGGAAGGGUGGGAGUGCACCGAGGCCAGCCAGGGUGAGGCGUCAUGGGCUUGAGAAGCAUCCUGAACCCCGCUCGGUCAACAGCACCUCUGGAGCUCAGAGCUCAGAGAGAAAUCAAUACGGGGAAAGAGAGACUGAUUCUGGAUCACCCAACCUAGCCCUGAGCCUGCAGGCCAGAUGACCUCCCACACACACAGUCAUAUACGCUGACACACAUACAAAUACAUACUGACAUACAGCUAUGCUAUCUUUCGCACAAUCACACACCUACACAUGCAUGUGUUUGUGUGUCUGGUUUUCCUCGAGGCCAUGUUAUUGUGGAGAAACCUCUACAAUCCAAACUUUUUUUUCGGAAGUGCAAAGGUCCUCGCUUUGUGUUUCCCCCACUUUUGCGCCACUUCGCUACUUGUGUCCAUCCAGGUCACCUUCCACCUCUGUGUGGUGAGAAAAAUCAUUCAGAUAUAUCAAAUAUCUACAAGGAUGGACUUCCUCCCCAGAGCAACUCAUUGCUUAUUCAGUGGCAAGACUUGAACGAGGAAAGCAGCUGUAUUACAUCCCGCUGUGCUCCACAACUCUGCACCAGAAACUCACUCUGCCUCAACCGUAGUAGCCACUUCUUUCACAACCAACCAGCUCACAAGACAGUCAGAAAAAGGGACAUGUUCUGGUUCCAGAACACGGUGUGGACUUAACAAGAGACAGCGCGUAAGAGACUGAGGAGCACCCAGAAGAACAGUGAUGGCAGUGAGAUGUGAUGCUCAAAAAGUGAAUCAGAAAUUCAGCUCAGAUCGUUUUCCCGAGCGAUACAGACCAGGACAAGUGUGUCCCAACAGGCGCGUGUGAUGAGACAGACCGCACUAUAGUGAAGACAGUGAUGUUCAGCUGCUCUCAUUCUGCUUGAACACAGUGAGAGGAAAACACCUAUAAGAAUAUCACCAUGGGACUCGAGAGAUUUUUGUGAAGUACAAAAUGAGUUUCUGCUGAACUUACCUUUGCUCUCGGGCCUCUUUUGAUUAAUAACAUGGACAUUUCAUCAUGGCAUUUUUGGUCUCCGGGUUAUUCCAGAACACUGGACUAGAUACACGAGGUAAGUAGAUAAAAAAUAUAAGCGGUAAUAUGCCUUAUUGAAAAAGAAUCUAUGCAUAUGCAUAUUUCAUAGAUGUUUAAAUUUUAUUUAUGUAUAAUAUAGCACUAAAUUAACAAUUGACUUAUGUGUGUACUUCUAUACACUUUUAUGUUGCAUACCUACAUCACAAUUAAAAAUAUAUACUUUCUAAAGUCAUGCUAAUUUUAUGCCAUUUCCAAUA
This is a long non-coding RNA of Ictalurus punctatus (channel catfish), 1897 nucleotides long. RefSeq lists it as uncharacterized. The transcript has 4 exons. Lineage: Eukaryota; Metazoa; Chordata; Actinopteri; Siluriformes; Ictaluridae. The record is from RefSeq and is a predicted model, not a curated record.